This is a transfer RNA of 77 nucleotides. It matches the Rfam family "tRNA". Rfam says of the family: Transfer RNA (tRNA) molecules are approximately 80 nucleotides in length.
GCGCUCUUAGCUCAACUGGUUAGAGCAUCGGACUUUUAAUCCGCUGGUUCUGGGUUCGAGUCCCAGAGAGCGCACCA